RNAcentral lists this small nuclear RNA (107 nucleotides) under Myotis brandtii (Brandt's bat). Lineage: Eukaryota; Metazoa; Chordata; Mammalia; Chiroptera; Vespertilionidae. The record is from RNAcentral.
GUGCUCGCUUCGGCAGCACAGAUACUAAAAUUGGAACGAUACAGAGAAGAUUAGCAUAGCCCUUGCGCAAGGAUGACACGCAAAUUCGUGAAGCGCUCCAUAUAUUU